RNAcentral lists this ribosomal RNA (497 nucleotides) under uncultured bacterium. RNAcentral describes it as "partial 16S ribosomal RNA". It matches the Rfam family "Bacterial small subunit ribosomal RNA", at positions 28 to 507 of the family's 1533-position model. The record is from RNAcentral.
GAUGAACGCUGGCGGCGUGCCUAAUACAUGCAAGUCGAGCGAACAGACGAGGAGCUUGCUCCUCUGACGUUAGCGGCGGACGGGUGAGUAACACGUGGAUAACCUACCUAUAAGACUGGGAUAACUUCGGGAAACCGGAGCUAAUACCGGAUAAUAUAUUGAACCGCAUGGUUCAAUAGUGAAAGACGGUUUUGCUGUCACUUAUAGAUGGAUCCGCGCCGCAUUAACUAGUUGGUAAGGUAACGGCUUACCAAGGCAACGAUGCGUAGACGACCUGAGAGGGUGAUCGGCCACACUGGAACUGAGACACGGUCCAGACUCCUACGGGAGGCAGCAGUAGGGAAUCUUCCGCAAUGGGCGAAAGCCUGACGGAGCAACGCCGCGUGAGUGAUGAAGGUCUUCGGAUCGUAAAACUCUGUUAUUAGGGAAGAACAAAUGUGUAAGUAACUAUGCACGUCUUGACGGUACCUAAUCAGAAAGCCACGGCUAACUACGUG